RNAcentral lists this ribosomal RNA (1540 nucleotides) under Escherichia coli. RNAcentral's name for it is "bacterial SSU rRNA". It matches the Rfam family "Bacterial small subunit ribosomal RNA". The record is from RNAcentral. Lineage: Bacteria; Pseudomonadati; Pseudomonadota; Gammaproteobacteria; Enterobacterales; Enterobacteriaceae.
AAAUUGAAGAGUUUGAUCAUGGCUCAGAUUGAACGCUGGCGGCAGGCCUAACACAUGCAAGUCGAACGGUAACAGGAAACAGCUUGCUGUUUCGCUGACGAGUGGCGGACGGGUGAGUAAUGUCUGGGAAACUGCCUGAUGGAGGGGGAUAACUACUGGAAACGGUAGCUAAUACCGCAUAACGUCGCAAGACCAAAGAGGGGGACCCUCGGGCCUCUUGCCAUCGGAUGUGCCCAGAUGGGAUUAGCUUGUUGGUGGGGUAACGGCUCACCAAGGCGACGAUCCCUAGCUGGUCUGAGAGGAUGACCAGCCACACUGGAACUGAGACACGGUCCAGACUCCUACGGGAGGCAGCAGUGGGGAAUAUUGCACAAUGGGCGCAAGCCUGAUGCAGCCAUGCCGCGUGUAUGAAGAAGGCCUUCGGGUUGUAAAGUACUUUCAGCGGGGAGGAAGGGAGUAAAGUUAAUACCUUUGCUCAUUGACGUUACCCGCAGAAGAAGCACCGGCUAACUCCGUGCCAGCAGCCGCGGUAAUACGGAGGGUGCAAGCGUUAAUCGGAAUUACUGGGCGUAAAGCGCACGCAGGCGGUUUGUUAAGUCAGAUGUGAAAUCCCCGGGCUCAACCUGGGAACUGCAUCUGAUACUGGCAAGCUUGAGUCUCGUAGAGGGGGUAGAAUUCCAGGUGUAGCGGUGAAAUGCGUAGAGAUCUGGAGGAAUACCGGUGGCGAAGGCGGCCCCCUGGACGAAGACUGACGCUCAGGUGCGAAAGCGUGGGGAGCAAACAGGAUUAGAUACCCUGGUAGUCCACGCCGUAAACGAUGUCGACUUGGAGGUUGUGCCCUUGAGGCGUGGCUUCCGGAGCUAACGCGUUAAGUCGACCGCCUGGGGAGUACGGCCGCAAGGUUAAAACUCAAAUGAAUUGACGGGGCCCGCACAAGCGGUGGAGCAUGUGGUUUAAUUCGAUGCAACGCGAAGAACCUUACCUGGUCUUGACAUCCACGGAAGUUUUCAGAGAUGAGAAUGUGCCUUCGGGAACCGUGAGACAGGUGCUGCAUGGCUGUCGUCAGCUCGUGUUGUGAAAUGUUGGGUUAAGUCCCGCAACGAGCGCAACCCUUAUCCUUUGUUGCCAGCGGUCCGGCCGGGAACUCAAAGGAGACUGCCAGUGAUAAACUGGAGGAAGGUGGGGAUGACGUCAAGUCAUCAUGGCCCUUACGACCAGGGCUACACACGUGCUACAAUGGCGCAUACAAAGAGAAGCGACCUCGCGAGAGCAAGCGGACCUCAUAAAGUGCGUCGUAGUCCGGAUUGGAGUCUGCAACUCGACUCCAUGAAGUCGGAAUCGCUAGUAAUCGUGGAUCAGAAUGCCACGGUGAAUACGUUCCCGGGCCUUGUACACACCGCCCGUCACACCAUGGGAGUGGGUUGCAAAAGAAGUAGGUAGCUUAACCUUCGGGAGGGCGCUUACCACUUUGUGAUUCAUGACUGGGGUGAAGUCGUAACAAGGUAACCGUAGGGGAACCUGCGGUUGGAUCACCUCCUUA